Molecule: long non-coding RNA, 1090 nt
Filed under: Capsicum annuum
Lineage: Eukaryota; Viridiplantae; Streptophyta; Magnoliopsida; Solanales; Solanaceae
Description: long non-coding RNA (CANN_LNC010730)
Source: RNAcentral
GUUACCAAAAUCGGGGCGUUACACUAAGUCACCAAACAAGUCACAUUCUAAACAAAAAAAUCACCCUUAAAGUCCCUACACUUAACCAUUUUCAAGUGACUAAGUUACCAAACAAGUCACAUUCUAAACAAAAAAAUCACCUUUAAAGUCCCUAUACUUAAUCAUUUUCAACCAACUAAGUCAUCAAUCAAAUCACAUUCUAGACAAAAAAAAAUCACCUUUAAAGUCCAUAUACUCGACUAUUUUCAAGUAACUAAGUCACCAAUCAAACCACAUCCAAAACAAAAAAAAUCACCUCUAAAGUCCCUACACUUAACUAUUUUCAAGUAACUAAGUCACCAAUCAAACCACAUCCAAAAUAAAAAAAAUCACCUCUAAAGUCCCUAUACUUAACCAUUUUCAAGUAACUAAGUCACCAAACAAGUCACAUUCUAAAAAAAAAAUCACCUUUAAAUUCCCUGCACUUAACCAUUUUCAAGAAACUAAGUCACCAAUCAAACCACACCCAAAAAAAAAAAAUAAACCACAUCCAAAACAAAAAAAAUCACCUCUAAAGUCCCUACAUUUAACCAUUUUCAAGUAACUAAGUCACCAAACAAGUCACAUUCUAAACAAAAAAAUCACCUUUAAUGUCCUUACACUUGACCAUUUUCAAAUAACUAAGUCACCAAUCAAACCACAUCCAAAACAAAAAAAAAUCAACUUUAAAGUCCCUAAACUUAACCAUUUUCAAGUAACUAAGUCACCAAACAAGUCACGUUCUAAUAAAAAAAAUCACCUUUAAAGUCAAGUUCAAGUUCACAAUACAAAUGAUACAAGUUCAAGUUCAAAAUACAAGAAACAAGCAACAACAAGAUCAACAAGAUUUCAACAACAAUGCUAGUGAAUAGAACAAGGCCACACACGGCUUCACUAGACUUUAAUAUGAACGAUAACAAGAAGAUAACAACAAUGCUAGUGAAUCGAUCAAGGCCACACACGGCUUCACUAGACUUCAAUAUGAAAAAUAACAAUACUUCAUUAUAACAAAUUAGAGGGAAGUCAACUUACCUUAGCUUGGCCUAAAUUAAAGUGAAAGAGAUAAGCGGUC